RNAcentral lists this ribosomal RNA (443 nucleotides) under Carathea parawea. RNAcentral's name for it is "partial 16S ribosomal RNA". It matches the Rfam family "Bacterial large subunit ribosomal RNA", at positions 1831 to 2600 of the family's 2925-position model. The record is from RNAcentral. Lineage: Eukaryota; Metazoa; Arthropoda; Arachnida; Araneae; Malkaridae.
UUCUUAUAGAUUUUAUUAUAAGUAAAGUCUGCUCAAUGCAAACAGUAAAUAGCCGCAGGAUUUAUACUGUGCUAAGGUAGCAUAAUCAUUAGCCUUAUAAUUGAAGGCUUGAAUGAAAGACUUAACACUUAAAUUACUUUCAAAAUAUAAUAUUAUAAAUUAUACUAAUAAUAAAAAUAUUAUUAUAAAUAAAAUAGACAAUAAGACCCUAUCAAACUUAACUUUAGUUAAGCUGGGGCAGCUUAAUAAUUAUACUUUUAUUUUAUAAUCCUAUAUAAAAAUCUAAUAAAAUUAAUAAAUAAACAAGUUACUGUAGGGAUAACAGCGUAAUACUUUUCUAAAGCUCUUAUUAAAAAAAUAGAUUACGACCUCGAUGUUGAAUAAUAUACCUUUAUAAUGAAACAAAUAUAUAAGGAGGUCUGUUCGACCUUUAAUAUAUUACA